UACGGAGGGUGCAAGCGUUAUCCGGAAUUACUGGGUUUAAAGGGUGCGUAGGCGGCUUGAUAAGUCAGAGGUGAAAGCCUAUCGCUUAACGAUAGAAUUGCCUUUGAUACUGUAAAGCUUGAAAGGGGUUGAGGUCUGCAGAAUGUGGCAUGUAGCGGUGAAAUGCAUAGAUAUGCCAUAGAACACCGAUUGCGAAGGCAGCUGGCUGGGCCUACUUUGACGCUGAGGCACGAAAGCGUGGGGAGCGAACAGA
This 253-nucleotide ribosomal RNA is filed under the name uncultured bacterium. Its description in RNAcentral is "partial 16S ribosomal RNA". It matches the Rfam family "Bacterial small subunit ribosomal RNA", at positions 524 to 776 of the family's 1533-position model. The record is from RNAcentral.